This 138-nucleotide small nucleolar RNA is filed under the name Ornithorhynchus anatinus (platypus). The record is from RNAcentral. Lineage: Eukaryota; Metazoa; Chordata; Mammalia; Monotremata; Ornithorhynchidae.
CCCCUCUCAGGAUGGCACCUGGAGAGUUUCCAGUACUCUACCAGUCUCGACUAUGGGAGGGAGAGUCAACUAGAGGCAUACCCAUUCCAGUCCUAGCUUGGGCAGUGGGUAGCGAGUGGAAGGCAAUCUGCUACAAGU